This 301-nucleotide ribosomal RNA is filed under the name uncultured bacterium. RNAcentral describes it as "partial 16S ribosomal RNA". It matches the Rfam family "Bacterial small subunit ribosomal RNA", at positions 509 to 807 of the family's 1533-position model. The record is from RNAcentral.
CAGCAGCCACGGUAAAACGUAGGUGGCAAGCGUUGUCCGGAAUUAUUGGGCGUAAAGGGCUCGCAGGCGGUUUCUUAAGUCUGAUGUGAAAGCCCCCGGCUCAACCGGGGAGGGUCAUUGGAAACUGGGAAACUUGAGUGCAGAAGAGGAGAGUGGAAUUCCACGCGUAGCGGUGAAAUGCGUAGAGAUGUGGAGGAACACCAGUGGCGAAGGCGACUCUCUGGUCUGUAACUGACGCUGAGAGACGAAAGCUAGGGGAGCAAAUGGGAUUAGAUACCCCCGUAGUCCCUGUCUCUUAUAC